RNAcentral lists this ribosomal RNA (253 nucleotides) under uncultured bacterium. RNAcentral's name for it is "partial 16S ribosomal RNA". It matches the Rfam family "Bacterial small subunit ribosomal RNA", at positions 524 to 776 of the family's 1533-position model. The record is from RNAcentral.
UACGGGGGGGGCAAGCGUUGUUCGGAAUUACUGGGCGUAAAGGGCUCGUAGGCGGCCAACUAAGUCAGACGUGAAAUCCCUCGGCUUAACCGGGGAACUGCGUCUGGUACUGGAUGGCUUGAAUCCGGGAGAGGGAUGCGGAAUUCCAGGUGUAGCGGUGAAAUGCGUAGAUAUCUGGAGGAACACCGGUGGCGAAGGCGGCAUCCUGGACCGGCAUUGACGCUGAGGAGCGAAAGCCAGGGGAGCAAACGGG